Molecule: ribosomal RNA, 301 nt
Filed under: uncultured bacterium
Lineage: Bacteria
Description: partial 16S ribosomal RNA
Rfam family: Bacterial small subunit ribosomal RNA
Source: RNAcentral
CAGUCGCCGCGGUAAUGCGAAGGGGGCUAGCGUUACUCGGAAUUACUGGGCGUAAAGGGUGCGUAGGCGGCUUGACAAGUCUUGUGUGAAAUCUAUGGGCUCAACCCAUAGUCUGCACGGGAAACUGUCGGGCUUGAGAAUGGGAGAGGUGAGUGGAAUUUCCGGUGUGGCGGUGAAAUGCGUAGAUAUCGGAAGGAACACCUGUGGCGAAAGCGGCUCACUGGACAAUAACUGACGCUGAUGCACGAAAGCGUGGGGAGCAAACAGGAUUAGAUACCCGCGUAGUCCCUGUCUCUUAUAC